CCCCAAAGCCAGUGAUGCUCAUCGCCCCUGACUAUGUCUCCAGCCUCAUCCCCCCAUUGUAUACCACUUUGGAACUGCCUCCCUCCCUCCCACUUGUCCUUGUCAACUGGGCACAGGAGUCACCUCUUCUGGGAAGCCCUCCAUUUUGUUCCAGCCCAGGUGACCCCUGUGGACCUCAGGCCCCCUGCCUCCCUCCUGCUCACCAGCACUCUGUGGUGUGGACAGACUUAACACUGGCCUGGCCUAGUCCAGACCUGCUGCAGGAAAAAGAGAGCACCCUGCUUGCAGCAGAGGAUGGUUGCAGAGCCUAAACAGCCUUGAUUAAGUGUCUAAAUGGACAGGCCUGGGCAGUGCCCAGAUGGAGUAUAGCAGACAUUGUCCCUGCCCUCUGGGGCUUCUAGGAUGAUCCAGACACACAGAUGGGGACAGACAUGGAUGGGGAGCCAGGGAAGAAAAUAAAACAGAAUGUGAAAUCAGACUCUAUGUGUGUAUACAUACGUAUUAGAUGUCAAGGUAGAAGAUGGUAAGCCUUCUUACCAUCCCCUGGGGAGAACCUGACUGAGAAUGAAGCCAACACAAGAAGAAAGCAGAAAGUGGAGCCAAGAGGUGCUCAACACUGAACACCUGUACCUGACUUUGCCUGGACCUUGACCCUAACCCUACUCCAGGAAAUUUCAGUUAUGUUGAAUUAUAUUCUCUUUUUUUGUUUGUUUG
Manis pentadactyla (Chinese pangolin) is the source of this 714-nucleotide long non-coding RNA. RefSeq lists it as uncharacterized. NCBI's taxonomy places the organism in Eukaryota, Metazoa, Chordata, Mammalia, Pholidota, Manidae. The transcript has 3 exons. The record is from RefSeq and is a predicted model, not a curated record.